AUGGGUUUCUAUAAGGUGCUGACUAAGCGGUUUGUGGGAGAUGAAAAUGGUACUGUAAAAGGACUCGAAGUGGUACGUGUUCGCUGGGAGAAGUGUGAAACCGACAAGUUUCAAUGUAAGGAAACUGAGGGCAGUGAGGACAUAAUCGAGGCUGACCUAGUUUUACUUGCUAUGGGAUUCCUUGGCCUUGAGUUGGUAGAUAAAAGAUACUGA
This 213-nucleotide long non-coding RNA is filed under the name Vicia faba (fava bean). Lineage: Eukaryota; Viridiplantae; Streptophyta; Magnoliopsida; Fabales; Fabaceae. The record is from RNAcentral.